AGUCCUGGGGUAAGCAGGUAGGGAGGACCGUAGGUAAAUCCGCGGUCCAUUAAUCCUGAGAUGUGAUGCCGAGCCGAUUGUGGCGAAGUGGGUGAUCCUAUGCUGCCGAGAAAAGCCUCUAGUGAGUGUCGUGGCGGCCCGUACCCCAAACCGACUCAGGUGGUCAGGUAGAGAAUACCAAGGCGAUCGGGUGAACUGUGGUUAAGGAACUCGGCAAAUUGCCCCCGUAACUUCGGGAGAAGGGGGGCCUCCGCUGGUGAUCAGACUUGCUUUGUGAGCUGGUGGGGGUCGCAGAGGCCAGGGGGAAGCGACUGUUUACUAAAAACACAGGUCCGUGCGAAGUCGUAAGACGAUGUAUACGGACUGACGCCUGCCCGGUGCUGGAACGUUAAGGGGACCGGUUAGCGCAUCUUCGGGUGUGCGAGGCUGAGAACUUAAGCGCCAGUAAACGGCGGUGGUAACUAUAACCAUCCUAAGGUAGCGAAAUUCCUUGUCGGGUAAGUUCCGACCUGCACGAAUGGCGUAACGACUUCCCCGCUGUCUCAACCGCAGACCCGGCGAAAUUGCACUACGAGUAAAGAUGCUCGUUACGCGCAGCAGGACGGAAAGACCCCGGGACCUUCACUACAGCUUGACAUUGGCGUUUGGAACGUCUUGUGUAGGAUAGGUGGGAGACUGUGAAGCUGUCACGCUAGUGGUGGUGGAGUCAUUGGUGAAAUACCACUCUGGUCGUUUUGAACGUCUAACUUCGGUCCGUGAUCCGGAUCAGGGACAGUGUCUGGUGGGUAGUUUAACUGGGGCGGUUGCCUCCUAAAGAGUAACGGAGGCGCCCAAAGGUUCCCUCAGCCUGGUUGGUAAUCAGUGUCGAGUGUAAGUGCACAAGGGAGCUUGACUGUGGGACCGACGGGUCGAGCAGGAGCGAAAGCUGGGACUAGUGAUCCGGCGGUGGCAUGUGGAAGCGCCGUCGCUCAACGGCUAAAAGGUACCCCGGGGAUAACAGGCUGAUCUUCCCCAAGAGUCCAUAUCGACGGGAUGGUUUGGCACCUCGAUGUCGGCUCGUCGCAUCCUGGGGCUGGAGUAGGUCCCAAGGGUUGGGCUGUUCGCCCAUUAAAGCGGUACGCGAGCUGGGUUUAGAACGUCGCGAGACAGUUCGGUCCCUAUCCGCUGCGCGCGCAGGAGACUUGAAAGGAGCUGUCCCUAGUACGAGAGGACCGGGACGGACGAACCUCUGGUGUGCCAGUUGUUCCGCCAGGAGCAUGGCUGGUUGGCUACGUUCGGAAGGGAUAACCGCUGAAAGCAUCUAGGCGGGAAGCUCGCCUUGAGAUGAGGUCUCCCACCACGAGAGUGGGUAAGGCCCCCGGGAGACGACCGGGUUGAUAGGCCGGAGGUGGAAGCAUGGUAACGUGUGGAGCUGACCGGUACUAAUAGGCCGAGGACUUGACCAC
This 1445-nucleotide ribosomal RNA is filed under the name metagenome. RNAcentral's name for it is "bacterial LSU rRNA". It matches the Rfam family "Bacterial large subunit ribosomal RNA", at positions 1503 to 2925 of the family's 2925-position model. The record is from RNAcentral.